Molecule: ribosomal RNA, 383 nt
Filed under: uncultured organism
Description: bacterial SSU rRNA
Rfam family: Bacterial small subunit ribosomal RNA
Source: RNAcentral
CGCAAUGGGCGCAAGCCUGACAGAGCAAUACCGCGUGAGGGAUGAAGACUUACUGAGUUGUAAACCUCGGUGCCUUAAGGAAGAAGAUCUGACGGUACUUAAGGUGGAAAGCAUCGGCUAACUCCGUGCCAGCAGCCGCGGUAAGACGGGGGAUGCAAGUGUUAUCCGGAUUUACUGGGCGUAAAGCGUCUGCAGGUGGUUUCUUAAGUCUGCUGUUAAAUCUUGAGGCUCAACCUCAAAUCCGCAGUAGAAACUAGGAGACUUGAGUAUAGUAGGGGUAGAGGGAAUUUCCAGUGGAGCGGUGAAAUGCGUAGAUAUUGGAAAGAACACCGAUGGCGAAGGCACUUUACUGGGCUAUUACUGACACUCAGACACGAAAGCUA